CCUGAGGAGAGGGUUUUGGAUUUCUUUCUGUGCUAUUGCCAUCCACUUCUCCUUCUACCCAUGCCAUUUCUCAUACCUGGACCCUGAAUUUAACAGCAACCCAGCUGCAAACAGCAGCCACUGAUGAUGCAGGGAUGCAGAGCAGCAGGAGAAAAGAAGCUGGGUCUCUGAGUGACUGUGUGGAGCAGAGCUGCCUUGCCAUCCUGAACAACAUACUCCUUGACUUUAGCAUUGCGGUGGACUCCUGAAGGGUAUUGGACUGGAAAAAGUCAUUCGAGAUGAGACCAACGUGCUUAGAACCAAAGGUUUGUUUGGGCUGAACACAGGUCUUGCCAGGCACUCAGGAUAAUAGAAUUUGGAGAAGAGAGAAGAAAUGUAAGCCCAGGCACCAAGACGAUCAGUGAAUGAGAAGGAAUGAUUAAGAGGCUGGAAGACAACACACUGUGAUGGACAGACAAUAGUAUGACCAAACGGUAUAUGAGUCAAUAAAAAACUUCCAGCUACCUCCACUCAAUAAUAAUAAUGGUUAAUGUGUUCCAUUCGCCUGGCUAAAGUGACUCACAAUGGAUGCUUUAUAGUCCGAUAUACCUGUUUUCAUGGUCUAAAAUAAAAUAUUGAUUGCUCAUCUGGAAAA
Molecule: long non-coding RNA, 634 nt
Organism: Homo sapiens (human)
Lineage: Eukaryota; Metazoa; Chordata; Mammalia; Primates; Hominidae
Exons: 3
Source: RefSeq, a predicted model, not a curated record